Molecule: long non-coding RNA, 1640 nt
Organism: Vigna unguiculata (cowpea)
Lineage: Eukaryota; Viridiplantae; Streptophyta; Magnoliopsida; Fabales; Fabaceae
Source: RefSeq, a predicted model, not a curated record
UUCUCCAGGACAUGGCAAUUGGGAUAAAUGUUCUUGAUUUAGGGUUCCAUCUAAUAUGAACACAGAUUGGUGUUUCAAUGGCUUCACCAACAUCGUUGCUUCAAGAGGCGAAGUAUUGUCCGAAGAAACGUCUCUUCCUAUGAAUUCUUCCACCACUAAUUUCGCUCAUGCAACUCUUUCUAUUGUUGAAAAACCCUAACUCAGAUUCCCAAAGAUUCCCUCUUUCUGACUCAGACAAAUUGGGAUGUAUAACUGAAGAAUUUGAUGGAGAGGAACGAAAAUUACAGUUCAGAAGAGGAAUGCAUGGAGAAAUACAGGCAUGGAAAGUACCAUGCCGUUCGAAUCGGCAAUGCUUUCAACAUGGCUGUUACGUCUUGUAGUCCAAGCUCGGUUUGAAAAAUGGUUCAAAAAUAUGUCUUACUUGGCACUUCAAGCCAUAAGGGUAAGCUUUUCCAUUAAUCUUUUUGCUCUGUCCUUUUUCAGUUUAUGACUAACAUUGUUUGUCUUUUUUUUUUCUUUCUCUGAUUCAUAGCUUUUAAGAAACUAUGUGGUAUGUCUCCUUUGAAUGAUCAUCAUCCCAUCCCAUGUAGACAUCUUUUAGUGUUGAUAUAUUUAUAAUUAGUUGGUGAAUAAAAUUUAUAAGAACUAGGUCAAAUCAUAGUCAGCUAAGAAUAAGAUAUUGAAUAGGAGGUUAUAUGAUGAAGAUAUGUGCCUAUAUGACAACACUCCUGAAGCCAGGGAUGCUGCAUUGUCGCAUUGGCAGCAAUAGCUAAGGAAAAACGGGUUUCAACUACAUUUUUGUGUGCUUUAAAAUAUGAUUUUGUUGUUGAGGUUCAAAAAAAUAUUCCCUUCAACUUCUGUGAAAAAUACCCGAGCAAGUGCAUCUUCUACAGAGGUAGGUUUACUUUUCUUUUAUUUAGUUUUUAGCUCAAGAAAUCUGACUUCAGUUUCAUUUCAUUCAUGUGGUGCUCCAAGAUUUAGUUGGGUUAUGUCUAGUUUGGAAGUUUUCCCUCCCCAGUUUCCUUUUCAUGGACCAAUCCAUCUCCCUCCCUCAGAAAGUGUCGGUGAUGGUUGUAUGAUGAUUCUACAAGCAAGUGAUCUACCGUAUAUCUCUAUAUCAAGAUCUGCUUAUAUAGAUGUCUAGAGAUUAUCAGAACUUAAGGUAAGUUGUCCUAUGUCCCUUGUUUUCAUUGUCUAUGGUAUAAAUUCGUGAUUUAUGUAACCAAUACGCUUUUUUCUAAUAACACUUAUUAUUAUUCUAAUAAAACCUAGCAUUUGGUAACAUAUUUUACAUUGCUUUUGAUCAAAUUGGCGAAUAAGUUUUGUUUCUUACUUAAUUUGAGUUGGAUGAUCUAUAUAUUAUAUGUUUAAAUGCUAAUUAAUCUUGAAAACUAGUUUCUCUUAUGACUGUAGAAUAGUGUUCCCACGUGUGUUAGAUUUUGUUGCUUUUAAUUUUAUUUACCUGCCAAGUUUCCUAUUUAUGAAAACAAGAAGGACAUGACCAAGGGACUCAGUAUGAAGCACAGUUUCUGAACCAAUCUCAUCUUCAAGAUCAGUACUGCAAAAAAAUAUUUGAAGAAAGACUCAUUAGCUUGUGUUUAUAGAUAUGGGUAAAUAUUUAAUUUUACAAUGUAUUCUAA